RNAcentral lists this ribosomal RNA (289 nucleotides) under Cylindrospermopsis raciborskii S07. RNAcentral's name for it is "partial 16S ribosomal RNA". It matches the Rfam family "Bacterial small subunit ribosomal RNA", at positions 853 to 1143 of the family's 1533-position model. Lineage: Bacteria; Bacillati; Cyanobacteriota; Cyanophyceae; Nostocales; Aphanizomenonaceae. The record is from RNAcentral. RNAcentral also lists the same sequence under 1 other name.
UAACGCGUUAAGUAUCCCGCCUGGGGAGUACGCACGCAAGUGUGAAACUCAAAGGAAUUGACGGGGGCCCGCACAAGCGGUGGAGUAUGUGGUUUAAUUCGAUGCAACGCGAAGAACCUUACCAAGACUUGACAUCCUGCGAAUCCCGGUGAAAGCUGGGAGUGCCUUAGGGAGCGCAGAGACAGGUGGUGCAUGGCUGUCGUCAGCUCGUGUCGUGAGAUGUUGGGUUAAGUCCCGCAACGAGCGCAACCCUCGUUUUUAGUUGCCAGCAUUAAGUUGGGCACUCUAG